GUGCCCCCAGUAUUCAGUACAGUAUGAUGCUGUACAGGUGUAUAACCCAGAAGCAACGGGCUGUACCAUAGAGUCCAGAUGUGUAGUGGGCUGUUCUGUCCAGUCUACUCUCUGAAGGUUGUUCUAAGGGUCUGUGAAAGCAACAAGAGGAAGUUCUUGUAGGCCGAAAAAGGAA
Long non-coding RNA from Homo sapiens (human), 175 nucleotides. RefSeq lists it as uncharacterized. The transcript has 2 exons. The record is from RefSeq and is a predicted model, not a curated record. NCBI's taxonomy places the organism in Eukaryota, Metazoa, Chordata, Mammalia, Primates, Hominidae.